GAGGAGAAUACUGGGGAAUAAUAAAUAAAUUAGGCAUGUGGUUUCUUGUCCUGUAUAAGACAUUGUAUACAUAUCAUAUGAAAUAUUACCAUCCCCAUUUCACAGAAGAGGAUCCUGUAGUUUAGAGAGCUUAGGUAACUUAAAGCUACAUAGGUAGUCAUGUGAAAUGGUAGAAAUCAAAUCUAGGUCUAAUCUGACUUCUAAAUUCUGUCUUUUUUCCCCCACACUACAUUGCCUUCCAGGACAAUAUAGCAGGAGAGGUGGAUAACAAGAAAAUACAAUGCAAUGUGAUGAGUGCUAUAACCAAGAUAAGUCUUACUGGAAUUAACUCUCCCUGAAGGAGCUUUGGAAGUCUCAAGAAAGAGGUGACAUUUGAGUUAGGUUUUAUUAAUGAUUAGGGACUCACCAGGUGAAGCCCAGAAAAGGCAUGCUUGGAAGCCUGUGAAAUGGACUUGAGAUUGUACAGAGUAUGACAAGGAGUUAGGGUAGGCUGGAAUACAGAAUUGGUAGGGUUGUUCAAUUUCCAGAGAUAAAGGUGAACAGUGCAUUUUGAGUCUAGAUUGAGUAAUGCUGUAUACGUCAAACAAAGGAGUUUAUAUUUAAUUUUACAGGCAAUGGGGAGUCACUGGAAUGCUUGAACAACGUUACUUUAAGAUGAUUUUGACAAUGCGUGGAGACUAGAUCAAAGGAAAGAGAUGCUGGGCCAUACUUCCUAGACUCCCUUGCUGUUAGAUGCAGUGAUAUGACCAGAUUCUAGCCAAUAAAAACUGGAAAGACAUGAGAGAUGCUGUUGCCAGGCCUGACUGUGAAAACUUACUGCACAGUCCUCCACUCUUAUUUUCCUCUGUGCCAGCUGGAUGUCAGUGUCCAAAGUGUCCUUGGAAGCCACAUGUUGAAGACACCAAAGCUUCUGAAAGCCUGAACGGCUGCAUGGUGUGGAUUCUUCUCUCCCCAGCCCCAUCUCCCCAACACUGCUGCUGUUAGACUUAACAAAAGCUAGAAAUAAACUUCUACUGAGUUAAUACUCUGAGAUUUCAGGUUUUAUCUUUUAGCCACAGAGAUUCCAGAGUUUAUCUGCUAACUAAAAGACGAAUGCUGCAACUCAGCUGAUAAUGGACUCUAUCCCACUUGCGAUACAAAUCUGGGUUUCUAGCCAACAGCAGCUCUUAAAUUCCAUUUAUUUGGAGACUAUAAAAUUGAUUCACACACCAAACACCUGUUUAGCUUCCUACAUAGGGAAUCUAUGUCCACAAGUGACUCAUACUACAGAGUUUCAACAUGCAGUCUCUUCUCAGGCUGAGUUUUAGACUGAGGCCAGUGUUCAUGGGGACCCACCUUGGGCGUAGAAAGCCAUGGAGGCCUGAACAGCUAACCAGAUGGUUAGAAACAUCACUCUGACUAAACCUUACAUACUGUGCCCUCACACAUAUGUCUUCUCAUUCUACUGGGGAUGAGGGCCACCAAGGGCCCUCAUAGCCACAUAGGAAAGUUACCCAGCAUAAGAAAAUGACAGAACCAGGACUGAAGGCUG
Molecule: long non-coding RNA, 1531 nt
Filed under: Homo sapiens (human)
Lineage: Eukaryota; Metazoa; Chordata; Mammalia; Primates; Hominidae
Description: HSALNT0028154
Source: RNAcentral